This 248-nucleotide long non-coding RNA is filed under the name Mytilus galloprovincialis (Mediterranean mussel). Lineage: Eukaryota; Metazoa; Mollusca; Bivalvia; Mytilida; Mytilidae. The record is from RNAcentral.
CGGUAAGUCUCUAAUCAAAUGGCUAAAUCAAAUGAUAAAACACAUAUAACAAAUGGACAACAACUGUCAUAUUCUUGACUUUGUACAGAAAUGUUCAAAUGUUGGAAAUGGUGGAUUGAACCUGGUUUUGUAGAGCUAAACCUCUUACUUGUAUGACAGUCACAUCAAAUUCCAUUAUAUUUGCAACGAUGCGUUAACAAAACAGAUAUAAUUGGUAAAAUUGUGAAAAUAGAGAUACUACAAUCAAC